Molecule: ribosomal RNA, 467 nt
Filed under: uncultured bacterium
Lineage: Bacteria
Description: bacterial SSU rRNA
Rfam family: Bacterial small subunit ribosomal RNA
Source: RNAcentral
GAUGAAACGCUGGCGGCGUGCUUAACACAUGCAAGUCGAACGGGAAACUUUUUCAUUGAAGCUUCGGCAGAUUUGGUUCUGUUUCUAGUGGCGGACGGGUGAGUAAACGCGUGGGUAACCUGCCUAAGAGACUGGGAUAACACCUGGAAACAGAUGCUAAUACCGGAUAACAACACUAGACGCAUGUCUAGAGUUUGAAAGAUGGUUCUGCUAUCACUCUUGGAUGGACCUGCGGUGCAUUAGCUAGUUGGUAAGGUAACGGCUUACCAAGGCAAUGAUGCAUAGCCGAGUUGAGAGACUGAUCGGCCACAUUGGGACUGAGACACGGCCCAAACUCCUACGGGAGGCAGCAGUAGGGAAUCUUCCACAAUGACGAAAGUCUGAUGGAGCAACGCCGCGUGAGUGAAGAAGGGUUUCGGCUCGUAAAGCUCUGUUGGUAGUGAAGAAAGAUAGAGGUAGUAAACUGG